This 164-nucleotide ribosomal RNA is filed under the name uncultured bacterium. Its description in RNAcentral is "partial 16S ribosomal RNA". It matches the Rfam family "Bacterial small subunit ribosomal RNA", at positions 355 to 511 of the family's 1533-position model. The record is from RNAcentral.
UAGGGAAUCUUCGGCAAUGGACGAAAGUCUGACCGAGCAACGCCGCGUGAGUGAAGAAGGUUUUCGGAUCGUAAAACUCUGUUGUUAGAGAAGAACAAGGGUGAGGGUAACUGUUCACCCCUUGACGGUAUCUAACCAGAAAGCCACGGCUAACUACGUGCUAG